Molecule: long non-coding RNA, 1109 nt
Filed under: Monodelphis domestica (gray short-tailed opossum)
Lineage: Eukaryota; Metazoa; Chordata; Mammalia; Didelphimorphia; Didelphidae
Description: lncRNA (ENSMODG00000044882.1)
Source: RNAcentral
GUCCAGGGGCACCGAGCUCCCUGGCUGCCCCUUCCUCCCAUUGCCCUUUCAUUCUCGGGCCGUCGCUCCGUUCAUCAGCGCUUGUCUAUACCAGUUGUCUGCCUGUGGUGUCCCCCAUUAUAGCCUCUGAGCUCCCCAGAGCGGGGUUCUGUCUAUAUCCCCAGGGCUUAGAGGCCCUCAGUAAAUCUGUGUGCACUCACUGACCACCGUCACGUCCGCUCUCCUCCCCACAGACAAACCUCAGGCCCCCUGUGAAGGGGGGCCGUCCCCAAGCCGCCAUCCGUGUGUCCAUCUUGCUCCCCGCCACGCUUCCCAGGCUCCACUAGCCGGGAGACUCCUCAGCAGGGGCCCGAGAACCUCGGCCUGGGAAGCGGAUGACGGCGUGCUUGUCCAAGCAGAGGACGGCGCAUCCAGGACCUGGAAGCAGACGGGCCCUUCGAAGCUGACCCUCACUUUAUAAGUGGGUAAACGGAGGCCCGUGAAGGCGAACGGAGUCGCCCAGAUGUUCCGAGCUCCCUUCCACGCUGAGACUCUUUAAAUGGAUGAUCUAUAUUCCUCGGGUCCUGCCAGACCCGAUUCUGAAAUAGCACCCCCUUCCCUCAGCCUCCUCCACCUCCUCCAGCUCUUUCUCUAACCCGUGGGUCAUGUGCUCCGUGAGCUACUUCCCUGGGCCCUGAUGCCCUCUUCCCCCUCCUCUCUUCCAGUCUCUUAGAGAAAGGAGUCCAUCGUAAAUCUGGGCACUUUCCCCACCCCUCCUUUCUGAAAAGGCAACACGGGAGUCAGUGCAGAGACCAGGACGGGGCUGGCCUAGCUUUGGGGCGCUGAUGGACUUACUGACUGCAUGUCCUUGGAACGCCUCCCUAACCCCACCUGACGGCCCCUCUUGUCACUCUUCGGCGUCUCGGCCAAUCACAAUCCUCGACGCCAGGAUCGGGGCGGGGCCCAUGCAAAUCAGUGACUCCACCGCGGGGCCCAUAGUGAUACACUGGAUUCGAGGCAAUCCCGGCGGGGAACCAGGAGCUCCUAAUCUGUCCGUCUGCCCGCCCGUCCAUCUGUCCCGCCCCCUCACCAUACCCCGGACCCCCGAGACCCCGGCUCCUGGGGCCUGU